UGCGUAGGUGGCCUUUUAAGUUGGAUGUGAAAUACCCGGGCUUAACUUGGGGGUGCAUCUAAUACUGGGAGGCUAGAGUGCAGGAGAGGGAAGCGGAAUUCCUAGUGUAGCGGUGAAAUGCGUAGAUAUUAGGAGGAACACCAGUGGCGAAGGCGGCUUUCUGGACUGUAACUGACACUGAGGCACGAAAGCGUGGGGAGCGAACG
This 206-nucleotide ribosomal RNA is filed under the name uncultured bacterium. RNAcentral describes it as "partial 16S ribosomal RNA". It matches the Rfam family "Bacterial small subunit ribosomal RNA", at positions 568 to 774 of the family's 1533-position model. The record is from RNAcentral.